This 148-nucleotide non-coding RNA is filed under the name Pan troglodytes (chimpanzee). The record is from Rfam by way of RNAcentral. Lineage: Eukaryota; Metazoa; Chordata; Mammalia; Primates; Hominidae.
GCUGGGUGUGGUGGUGCACACCUGUAGUCCCAGCUACUCGGGAGGCUGAGGCAGGAGAAUCACUUGAACCCAGGAGGCAGAGGUUGCAGUGAGCCGAGAUCAUGCCACUGCAUUCCAGCCUGGGUGACAGAGCGAGACACUGUCUCAA